UUUCAGAGCGGGAGAUAAAGGGUUGCCCAGAAGGGUGGUGAGUGGAAUGGCUGAUAUAAACAACGGGGGCGCGAUGAAAUACACAGGAGGGCUGCUAGUCACAUAUGGGGCGGGUGCCGAGGGCCCUUGACUAAGGGAGGCUUCCUGCACGGGUGACACCCAAGCGGAGUCCUGACGACCUGCGUCAGAAGUAGCCAGGCGAGGAGGAGGGGAAAGGAAUCCACGUCCCGAGCAGAGAGGCAGCGUUCCCUACACAGCACAGGACACGGUCCGCGCACAGAAGCCGCAGGAGACGCAGGCACAGGGGCUGGGGAGAAUCCUUGCUGGGCCCUCGCCGCCUCCCUCUGCCGGGUGUCUGGUGCCAGCCUCCUGCCUGGCAGAGGAACUCCAGCCCCUGCUCCCGGAAGCCCCUCCAGGCCUUCGGCUUCCCUGACUGGGCAUGGGCCCCUCGUCCCCUCGUCCCCUCGGGUACGGGGCCGGUCUCCCCGCCCGCGGGCGGCGAAGUAAAGGCCCAGCGCAGCCCGCGCUCCUGCCCUGGGGCCUCGUCUUUCUCCAGGAAAACGUGGACCGCUCUCCGCCGACAGGUCUCUUCCACAGACCCCUGUCGCCUUCGCCCCCGGUCUCUUCCGGUUCUGUCUUUUCGCUGGCUCGAUACGAACAAGGAAGUCGCCCCCAGCGGAGCCCCGGCUCCCCCAGGCAGAGGCGGCCCCGGGGGCGGAGUCAACGGCGGAGGCCACGCCCUCUGUGAAAGGGCGGGGCAUGCAAAUUCGAAAUGAAAGCCCGGGAACGCCGGAAGAAGCACGGGUGUAAGAUUUCCCUUUUCAAAGGCGGAGAAUAAGAAAUCAGCCCGAGAGUGUAAGGGCGUCAAUAGCGCUGUGGACGAGACAGAGGGAAUGGGGCAAGGAGCGAGGCUGGGGCUCUCACCGCGACUUGAAUGUGGAUGAGAGUGGGACGGUGACGGCGGGCGCGAAGGCGAGCGCAUCGCUUCUCGGCCUUUUGGCUAAGAUCA
Molecule: long non-coding RNA, 1009 nt
Filed under: Homo sapiens (human)
Lineage: Eukaryota; Metazoa; Chordata; Mammalia; Primates; Hominidae
Description: HSALNT0389896
Source: RNAcentral